This 440-nucleotide ribosomal RNA is filed under the name uncultured bacterium. Its description in RNAcentral is "partial 16S ribosomal RNA". It matches the Rfam family "Bacterial small subunit ribosomal RNA", at positions 338 to 795 of the family's 1533-position model. The record is from RNAcentral.
CCUACGGGAGGCAGCAGUAGGGAAUAUUGCUCAAUGGGGGAAACCCUGAAGCAGCAACGCCGCGUGGAGGAUGAAGGUUUUCGGAUUGUAAACUCCUUUUGUUAGAGAAGAUAAUGACGGUAUCUAACGAAUAAGCACCGGCUAACUCCGUGCCAGCAGCCGCGGUAAUACGGAGGGUGCAAGCGUUACUCGGAAUCACUGGGCGUAAAGGGCGCGUAGGCGGGAUAGCAAGUCAGAUGUGAAAUCCUAUGGCUUAACCAGAGAACUGCAUUUGAAACUGGUAUUCUAGAGUAUGGGAGAGGUAGGUGGAAUUCUUGGUGUAGGGGUGAAAUCCGUAGAGAUCAAGAGGAAUACUCAUUGCGAAGGCGACCUGCUAGAACAUAACUGACGCUGAUGCGCGAAAGCGUGGGGAGCAAACAGGAUUAGAUACCCUUGUAGUC